Molecule: long non-coding RNA, 422 nt
Organism: Apis dorsata (giant honeybee)
Lineage: Eukaryota; Metazoa; Arthropoda; Insecta; Hymenoptera; Apidae
Exons: 2
Source: RefSeq, a predicted model, not a curated record
UAUCUACAGAACCAUCGCAAGAUUAAACAAAAUUAUUCUAAUUAUCAUAUCAAACAGACUAUGCAAAAUAGAAAAUUCUCAAGUACUUUGACAUCUGAAGGACAAUUGCAGAGCGAAUCACCAAUUAAUUUGCAACAAACAUCCAUCUUCAUCCACAGAACCGUGAUGGAAACGUUCAACUGAUCGGAGAUUGACCGAGUCGGCGCAGGAGAUGCGGAAGGUUUCAGUCAGACAGGUUCGUCGCGUGAAUAAUUCAACAAUAGUACAGCAACCUUUCCAUAUCGAUGUAUCGAUGAACCAAUCAAAGUUUCAUGCCAUCCAAUCAAUGUUUAACUCGUGUAUUUAAUUUCAUAUCAUCUUUACCGUGCAAUAUUGUACGAAGAAAUGACAAAGAAAAGUAAUAAGUCUUCUAAAGCAAUUUC